Molecule: long non-coding RNA, 343 nt
Organism: Neopelma chrysocephalum (saffron-crested tyrant-manakin)
Lineage: Eukaryota; Metazoa; Chordata; Aves; Passeriformes; Pipridae
Exons: 3
Source: RefSeq, a predicted model, not a curated record
AGGAACUGAGUAAUCCAGAGGCCAGGUCACCAACUCUUUCCUCUCCAAACAGCUUGUGGCUGCAGGCAUCUGUCGCACAGAUGAACACCUCUUGCAAGGCUGCUUUCCCAAUGCGGAAUUCCCAGUUAUCCCAGGCCACGAAGGAGCUGGAAUCGUGGAAAGCAUUGGAGAAGGAGUGACCACGGUGAAACCAGGUGACAAAGUUAUCCCCCUUUGCCACCCUCAGUGUGGGGAAUGCAGCUUCUGUUUGAAUCCUGAAUCCAAUUACUGCCUGAAAUCCCAUUUCUCUGAACCACAAAACCUGAUGCCUGACAAGACCACCCGGUUCACUUGCAAAGGGAAG